GUGGGGAAUCUUGCGCAAUGGGCGAAAGCCUGACGCAGCCAUGCCGCGUGAAUGAUGAAGGUCUUAGGAUUGUAAAAUUCUUUCACCGGGGACGAUAAUGACGGUACCCGGAGAAGAAGCCCCGGCUAACUUCGUGCCAGCAGCCGCGGUAAUACGAAGGGGGCUAGCGUUGCUCGGAAUUACUGGGCGUAAAGGGCGCGUAGGCGGACAGUUUAGUCAGAGGUGAAAGCCCAGGGCUCAACCUUGGAAUUGCCUUUGAUGCUGGCUGUCUUGAGUACGGGAGAGGUGAGUGGAACUCCGAGUGUAGAGGUGAAAUUCGUAGAUAUUCGGAAGAACACCAGUGGCGAAGGCGACUCACUGGCCCGUUACUGACGCUGAGGCGCGAAAGCGUGGGGAGCAAACAGGAUUAGAAACCCGUGUAGUCC
RNAcentral lists this ribosomal RNA (425 nucleotides) under uncultured bacterium. RNAcentral's name for it is "partial 16S ribosomal RNA". It matches the Rfam family "Bacterial small subunit ribosomal RNA", at positions 354 to 796 of the family's 1533-position model. The record is from RNAcentral.